UGGCCAUAAGCCAGGGCUGAACUUUGGCUCUGUGCUUCUGAUUACACUGUUAACCAUGAUGUAAAAAGACAGAGUUGACUCUACAAGAUAUUCAGCUCCUUCAACACCCACUGAGAUCACUGGGCGCUUCCACUACCUCCCAGGAGUGCUCAGCAUCUUGCAGGAUUGAACCCUACAGGGGAGAUUUUCAGAAGCACCUAGGAGGUUUAGAAGCUCAAGUCCCAUUAACCCCCUCAGGCACUUUUGAAAAUCCUGCCCUAAAUUAGGAGAAUCUGACAAAAAUAGGUAAACUGGUUUGAUUUGGUAGAGGAGCACCUGGUCUCUCUCUCUGAAGGAACUGUGGCCAAUGGGAGCUGAAUGGCUGGCGACUAGGAGCUGCUGCCGAGGCGGGGGCGUUCCAGUUGCUUUGGGAGCUGCCCGAGGUUGUAGAGGAGCAUCAAACUGAGAGGAGCCAGCAGAAUGCAGAGUUUGAGACCGCAGGACAAAAGCAAGGGUUGAGUGACCAUGCUCCUGGAAAUUCCAAGUUUAAACCUCAUGCAGAAAGGCAUAAGGUGACAAGAAAUGAUGAUUAUUUUUGCAGCAGUAUAUGGGAUAGGCUGAAGUGGGGGUAGGGAGGCCAGAGAA
This is a long non-coding RNA of Mauremys mutica (yellowpond turtle), 624 nucleotides long. RefSeq lists it as uncharacterized. The record is from RefSeq and is a predicted model, not a curated record. The transcript has 3 exons. NCBI's taxonomy places the organism in Eukaryota, Metazoa, Chordata, Testudines, Geoemydidae.